AUGUCGAUGACGAGUGAAGCCUGUGCCAAGAUUGGAGUCCAAAUCAUCAUCUUCAUCUUGUAAAAAUGCAGCAGGUUUUGUUCUACCUGCAGCAGCAUCGAGCUCAAUAUCACGUCGUCUCAACCUGGCAUCAACAGCUCUUCGGGCCCCGAUAUCUAAUUCUUCAAGAUCGUUAUCGUCAUCUAGUUCUUCAAUGUCAUAACGAUCUAGCUCCAAAUUUUGUUGAUAAUCACUAUACAGUUAGAAAAAAGUACCUUAUUUGACGCGAAAUGUGAAACUACUCUUUUGAAAAUCAAGAUUUGUUCUGUCAAUAUAACCGCAACCUAGGAAUCCAAUAAAUAUAUUUAUUUACAAGAAGGAGAAGAAAUAGUAUGUAAUUUAUAUAUUGAUGGCAACACUUAGUAUACACAACAUUGACAAGACACGUCUCAAGCAUAGCUAUAAAACUUACCGUUCCAUUCCUUCUCCGAACAAAUCUUCACCUUCUUCAUCCUCUACAUCUAAAGCUUCUCCGUCCAGAUCCUCAAUAUCCUCCUCCACGAGAGCUUCUGCAGCUUCAUCAGAGAAUUCUGGAGGAGGUGAAGAAGGAGGUAAAGAAAGAGGUGUAGCACCGAGAGAAGAAUUUUCUGAUUCAAAAGGUAAACUUUCAGAAUCGCGGCGACCCCUUUUCCGAAAAGAAUCCAUCUUUGGACUCAAAUACUUUAAAGAUGUUGUUUCUAACUAUUUUAAUGCAUUGAAUAGCUAGAGUAUUGCAGGAUGAAAGAAUAAGAAAUGCUACAGUAUAUUGUUAAAUUGUAUUGGAAAAUGUAGUGAUACCUGUAAAUGAAAUAGAGGAGCGUAAUG
Molecule: non-coding RNA, 843 nt
Organism: Schizosaccharomyces pombe (fission yeast)
Lineage: Eukaryota; Fungi; Ascomycota; Schizosaccharomycetes; Schizosaccharomycetales; Schizosaccharomycetaceae
Source: the annotation of a GenBank genome assembly